CUGGGGCUUGAGGUCGCUGUCCAUCGUUUCGGCGAUGACGGUGAUGCUCAGCUCUGCUUGCCGGUGACUGUUGCGGUGUUCUUCACUGAGCGCUGUAGCAGCACGGCACGUUUACUUUGAAAAAAUUAGAGUGCUCAAAGCGUGCUUGUCGCUUGAAUAAUGUUGCAUGGAAUAAUGGAAUAGGACCUCGGUUCUAUUUUGUUGGUUUUCGGAGCUUGAGGUAAUGAUUAAGAGGGACGAACGGGGGCAUUCGUAUUGCGGUGUUAGAGGUGAAAUUC
The sequence is a ribosomal RNA, 278 nucleotides long. The stretch from base 105 to 278 matches the Rfam family "Eukaryotic small subunit ribosomal RNA", at positions 745 to 919 of the family's 1831-position model.